UUAGAAAUAACAAAACCAAUUUGCAUAAUGACUCGACACUCUAAGAUUGUCGUGAAGAAGACAUACAUAAUUGAGAACCAUAUGAAAACCCAUGAGCUGUGAGAUUGGCAUAUUGUGGAAAAUGUUCGCAGCUCUGUGUGUAUGCUACAGUCAAAUACCACCAGAUUGAACACCAAGCUAUAGUCAUUGAGGCAACAGGUACUAGAAGACAGAUGCAGACAAGGACGAAGCAGCAAUACAAAGGCAACCUCAAGGCUAGUCCAACCAUACCAAUCAUUAAAUCAUUGUAUUUUUUCCAAUGCAGGUACUAGAAGGCAGACACAGACAAGGACGAAGCAGCAAUACAAAGGCAACCUCAAGGCUAGUCCAACCAUACCAGUCAUUUAGGCAAUGACUGGUUGACUUGGAGUGACUUGCAAGGUGAUUUGGAGUGAUUUUUGAGUGAUUCCAAGUGGAUUUGAAGGGGAUUUUCAAGAAAAAUCAGAUUCCCAGUUUUGGAAGAAUUAUCAUAACUUUCAUUUGAACCGUUGGAUCUUUCUAUAAACCGGAGGAUAAGUCUAUAACAAUGAUAUCAAGAGACUGAUUGGAGAGAUUGGCUUCAUUAUAAGACGGAUGUUCAGGGAAAGGCACCUGCAUUACCCGAUGACAAUACAAUGACAGACUCACUAUCAUGUGGUGAUGACAUCGCAUAUUCCACAGACCCUGUCGCAAUGAUGAGAAAGAUAAAAAAAAAAGUUAAUAGAGAAAUUAUUGCUCUGGCAUACCAAGUCCUUCAAAUUGAUGCAAUAAAAGAGAGGUUGCAACAAUUGAUGUAGAGAGCACAAAAAUUGCAAGAAAUAUUGCAUCCUCGUCAAGCUGGUGGCCAUGAUUAGGGUACUCCAGGUAGUUUAGGUGAUGUCCAUGUUCCUGUGCAAACGUCGCCUCAUCAGAUCCCAUCAUCUCCACCUAUAUUGCCAACUUCAAUGUCGCCAACACAUAGCAUGCAGACAUCCAAUAGUGCACAUCAUAUUGACUCCAGAGUUGCAAGACAUGUACAUGAGGAUGCAAAGGCUACUAGUGGUGAGACCAUAGCAGCAUUUCCUGGAUCUUCCCGUAUUGCUAGUACGGGAACGUUGCCGGUCACAUUUGUGGUGACCAAAUAUUUGCUUCCCAUAAAGAUAGAGAAGGAAAUGAUAUUUUUUAUAAAAAAUAUUAAUGAAAUUACAUUGGAGAUCUUCGUGCCCACCAUACAUAAAUGAUGGAAUGAACAAGAAAAAAAGUUAAAAGACGAGCUCAUAAACCGUUUGGUUGGGUUGUUCGGAAAUGACACAUUCGAGAAAAGCAAGGUCUUUGACCAAGCUGGAAAACAUCUAAAGUAUGUGAUGGACCAAUAUAGGACACAUUUAGAGAAGAACAAAAAGUAAGAGCGUCCCCCAUGAUUCCAGAGAGGGAGUGAAAGGACCCGAUUUUGGAUGCAAAGGAGUUGAAAGGAAAAAAUGGAAUACACCACCAGGCAGAAGAAGACUGCUCGACACAUCAAAGGCAACUAAGGAAAUACUAGAAAAGCACGGGCAACACAAACUCGGCUCUAGUGGUUAUAUGAAAGUUGCCGCACGAAUUGGCUCUGAAUUCAAUAGAGUGCCCACAAAAGAUGACAUGAAAAUUGCCUUCUAGGAGGGCUAUAGAAUUGUGGCUAAAUGUCUAAAAGGAUUGAGUGGGCAAACAGAUGAAUCCAGUGCAUCCAUCAAUCAUGUAAAUAAGCCUGCACAGGGUAAAACACAACCUGCACAUGAUGAAGGUCGUUGUGUGCAUCCCAGUAUUGGAGAGAAUGUAGACCAUGGUGAGCAAGUUGAGCAUGAUCCAUGUAGACAACAUCAGGAACGUGAUGCGGCCCCAAUAGUCCAGAGGACUUAGAGGGUGUUCAAGAUGUUGAGGAUGAGGCUAGACAAAAUGAUCAGGAAGAUGAUGUGGCCCCAUCAGACCCCCCUUUGCAUACGCAUCCUCAUCGUGAGUAAAGGACUAGACAUAUAUUAGCUAGAUCACUAGAAGAGGGCAGAAGAAUUGAAGAGGGGACAAAUGAUUAAGACAACGAUCGUCCACUUAGUCUUUACCUCCAAGCUUCAAAAAGAAAGAAAAAUAAAAUGAUUGUGAUCUAAUUAUA
This is a long non-coding RNA of Cryptomeria japonica (Japanese cedar), 2140 nucleotides long. RefSeq lists it as uncharacterized. The record is from RefSeq and is a predicted model, not a curated record. The transcript has 15 exons. NCBI's taxonomy places the organism in Eukaryota, Viridiplantae, Streptophyta, Pinopsida, Cupressales, Cupressaceae.